This 583-nucleotide ribosomal RNA is filed under the name uncultured fungus. Its description in RNAcentral is "eukaryotic LSU rRNA". The stretch from base 209 to 362 matches the Rfam family "5.8S ribosomal RNA". The record is from RNAcentral. Lineage: Eukaryota; Fungi.
CUUGGUCAUUUAGAGGAAGUAAAAGUCGUAACAAGGUUUCCGUAGGUGAACCUGCGGAAGGAUCAUUAUCGACACAGCGGACUUCGGUCCUUGCUGCACCCUUGUCUUUUGCGUACCGUAUCGUUUCCUCGGCGGGCUUGCCUGCCGGUUGGACACUAUUAAACCUUUUUGUAGUUGCAAUCAGCGUCAGAAAAAUCAUAAUUAUUACAACUUUCAACAACGGAUCUCUUGGUUCUGGCAUCGAUGAAGAACGCAGCGAAAUGCGAAAAGUAGUGUGAAUUGCAGAAUUCAGUGAAUCAUCGAAUCUUUGAACGCACAUUGCGCCCUUUGGUAUUCCAAAGGGCAUGCCUGUUCGAGCGUCAUUUGUACCCUCAAGCUUUGCUUGGUGUUGGGCGUCUUGUCUCUAGCUUUGCUGGAGACUCGCCUUAAAGUAAUUGGCAGCCGGCCUACUGGUUUCGGAGCGCAGCACAAGUCGCACUCUCUAUCAGCAAAGGUCUAGCAUCCAUUAAGCCUUUUUUUCAACUUUUGACCUCGGAUCAGGUAGGGAUACCCGCUGAACUUAAGCAUAUCAAUAAGCGGAGGA